This 343-nucleotide small RNA is filed under the name Vigna angularis var. angularis. RNAcentral's name for it is "Non-protein coding transcript". Lineage: Eukaryota; Viridiplantae; Streptophyta; Magnoliopsida; Fabales; Fabaceae. The record is from RNAcentral.
CUUCUUUCUCUGCAAUUCUCUCAUUUUCUGCUUUCUCUGGCUUUAUAAAUAAUCUGCACAAUUUGGAAGCGAAUUCUAAAUCUCUCUCUGCAAUGGACUGUGCCUCCGAAGAUAGCUCCGAUAACUCUCAGCGACCACACUCACACAAGGACCAGCGAGUCUAUUUCGUUCCUCACAGGUGGUGGAAGGAUGCUCAGGAUUCAAUGCCUGCGGAUUCGGAUAAGAAGAAGGGAAUUGCGUAUGCCUCUUUUCCUGGUUCGUCCUAUGCUGGUCCCAUGAAGAUUAUCAAUACCAUCUUCAGCUCGGAUCUUGCGUUCAGUCUUCGGAGGGAGGAGGAUUUGCA